This 842-nucleotide long non-coding RNA is filed under the name Nicotiana benthamiana. RNAcentral's name for it is "long non-coding RNA (NBEN_LNC029270)". Lineage: Eukaryota; Viridiplantae; Streptophyta; Magnoliopsida; Solanales; Solanaceae. The record is from RNAcentral.
AAUUAUUAAAUAGGACAUAUGCUUUCUUCUACAUAUAAACAUGGUCUCUAAAGUACAAAAAUAAAGUGACACUAAUAGAAGUCAAUAAAAGUAGACCCCAAAUCAUGAAUUUCUUUCAAAGAAUCAACAAAAUCGAAAAGGGUAAAACAAACACUGACUGAACUAGGGCGUGAGCCUAGAAUCUACUCUUGUUAUCAAAAAAUAUGAACCUCGACCGAAAUGAGUUCCAAAACCUCUGUCACGGUCAAAGUUUACUGCGGCAGAGGAAAAAAUUUAUAAUGUUAGAGAGAGAAUAACAGUGGUGAAGGGAAGCGAAGUACCGUUUUUAGGGUGUGGAGCAGCGGCUUCGUUGAGUGAUGUAGCCGACUGAGAAAUCUCGAAUUCUUAAAAACGGUAGCCUCUCCAAAAUCAAGUCCCCUUCACUUGAAGAAAAUAGUCGUGUUUAUAGGGUUUUGAACGAAAGUUUUGGACCGGAUUUUGAGUUGGGAUUUCAAAAUCGAGUCAAAGAGAGGUUUCAAAAAGCAAAUCACAUCCUUGUGUUGAUAUUCUAUGCAGCGAUAGCAGGUUUUUCUGAAAAGCAAUUUUGGCUUUAUUUGUUGAACGAUCAUUAAAGAUACGUUAAUGAUAUAGAGGGCAAAACAUAUGAAAUGCUGAGACGGAAAGGGAAGGAAAAUUUCACCAAAAUAAAGUGACAUAUCUCUGUGAAUACUUAAAAUUUGACGGAGCUUUGUCGAAAUGGGAGGAAGAAGAUAACUAGAAGGUCAGGAAAAAUCCAAUGUCAUUAGGCACUAAGCGACAUCAUUUUAGUACGAGUUCUAGAGGUUCUACUGUUUGGGCUGAAG